Astyanax mexicanus (Mexican tetra) is the source of this 357-nucleotide non-coding RNA. Lineage: Eukaryota; Metazoa; Chordata; Actinopteri; Characiformes; Acestrorhamphidae. The record is from the annotation of a RefSeq genome assembly.
AUGUGGAAGGACUCAGUGCUGAUCAUAGACAACUCUGCUGUUCCUCCUCCUGUUCUGAGCAUCUUCCCUCCGUCCAGUGAAGAGCUGAAGUCUAAUAAAGCCACUCUAGUGUGUGUGGUCAGUGACAUGUCCACUGGUAUUGCUGAUGUUCUUUGGCUGCUGGACGGAAAGGCGGUCAGCAGUGGAGUGAGCACUGGCUCUGCAGAGCAGCAGCCCAAUAAGAAGUUCAGACUGAGCAGCUAUUUGAGCAUUGAGAGAUCAGAGUGGGAGAAAGAUAAAGACAUAACAUGUGAAGUGUCUGCUGCUGCCUCAAAAACUACAAGUAAAAGCAUGAAGAAGUCUGAAUGCAUGGACUGA